GCUGGGGUGGUGGAAUUGGUAGACACGCUGUCUUGAGGAGGCAGUGGGCUUCGCCCGUGCGAGUUCGAUUCUCGCCCUCAGCACCA
RNAcentral lists this transfer RNA (86 nucleotides) under Nitrospinota bacterium. RNAcentral describes it as "tRNA-Leu". It matches the Rfam family "tRNA". Rfam says of the family: Transfer RNA (tRNA) molecules are approximately 80 nucleotides in length. Their secondary structure includes four short double-helical elements and three loops (D, anti-codon, and T loops). Lineage: Bacteria; Pseudomonadati; Nitrospinota. The record is from RNAcentral.